Molecule: transfer RNA, 72 nt
Filed under: Loxodonta africana (African savanna elephant)
Lineage: Eukaryota; Metazoa; Chordata; Mammalia; Proboscidea; Elephantidae
Rfam family: tRNA
About the family: Transfer RNA (tRNA) molecules are approximately 80 nucleotides in length. Their secondary structure includes four short double-helical elements and three loops (D, anti-codon, and T loops). Further hydrogen bonds mediate the characteristic L-shaped molecular structure. tRNAs have two regions of fundamental functional importance: the anti-codon, which is responsible for specific mRNA codon recognition, and the 3' end, to which the tRNAs corresponding amino acid is attached (by aminoacyl-tRNA synthetases). tRNAs cope with the degeneracy of the genetic code in two manners: having more than one tRNA (with a specific anti-codon) for a particular amino acid; and 'wobble' base-pairing, i.e. permitting non-standard base-pairing at the 3rd anti-codon position.
Source: Rfam by way of RNAcentral
GCAGUGGUGGUUCAGUGGUAGAAUUCUUGCCUUCCCACGCAGGAGGCCCAGGUUCGAUUCCCAGCCAAUUCA